This 1285-nucleotide long non-coding RNA is filed under the name Takifugu rubripes (torafugu). RNAcentral describes it as "lncRNA (ENSTRUG00000028013.1)". The record is from RNAcentral. Lineage: Eukaryota; Metazoa; Chordata; Actinopteri; Tetraodontiformes; Tetraodontidae.
AUGGAUCCUUCUGUAGAACACCAGCGCCAGCGCCCCCACCACCACCAGCACCAGCACCCCCACCACCAGCAGGACGUCCCGGACCGGUGGACACCAGUCGUCACUCAGACACCAACCUGUGGAGUCAAACCAGGACGUUUGAUCACUCUUUGCACCUCACCAAUCACGUCACCAUGGUUACAAACUCUCCUGAUCAGUGUGCAUCCAUCAAUCAUCAAAGCUGUCAGCAGACCGUAUCAUAGCAACCAGUCUGGACUCACGGUGUUCGGCCGAAGGCGUCGUCCUCUCGUGACCAGAACAGUUGACUAGAAGACACAAAAAGGUUCUUUUGAUCAUCUGAACACGGUUAGAACCUGAACACAACUGCAGUGCAUUGUGGGAGAGACCCUGUGGUUGGUGCUCACCGUGGCAGCUGGCCUCCUGAGGGUUCUGCAAACAAACAAACAAACAAACAAACAAAGGUGUUGGUUUCAGGAGAGAAGGUGCUGCAGCUCUGACUCUCGGCUGCUCGCUCCACUCACCGCUCCGUCAAGUUUGUAGGUCACAUUUUCCUGGCAGAGCUUCAAGGUCACGGAGUCAUUCGUGAGGUUCAGCACGUCAGCAGUCUUGUCUCCAUCAUCAGCAAAGGUGAUCUGGACGGAAACAGGUCAGAACAUUUUCAUCAGCACUAAAUCUUUACGGCUGAGCCAAGAGAUCCUCACGUCAGGCUUCCAUCAAGUCCUGGAAGUUUUGGGAACUUCCACAAUGCCCCCUGUGACGUCACCACAGCGAAGAACAUUCUCGGCCCUUACGGUGACGUCACCACCACGGCGAAGAACAUUCUUGGCCCUUACGGUGACGUCACCACCACAGUGAAGACCAUUCUCGGAACUUACGGAGUUUUUGGCCCAUCUGAAAGACGUGUUUUCGGUGACCGUCGGUGCCGGGACCAGCUGAUAGGUGAAGGAGCCGUCAGGGUUCUUGGUAACGUUACAGGUCAGCUGUUGUGGAGGGUCGGGGGCCGCAGAACCAGCUGAAUGUUCGACCGAGGCUGGAAAAAGUUCAGAAAUCCGAGCACAUUAUUAAAUACCUGCGGGAAAGAUCAUCAUCACGAACUUUCCCCCCGAAUCUGAAUGAAAAAUGGGACCGAAUCUUACCGUAAAAAAUGAUAAUGAAGCACAGAGACGUGAAGCACAUGUUUCUCAUGGUUCCUUCUUUAAUUCCGGAUAGUGACGAGUCAACAAGGUUUGGAGCUUGUUAGCUCCUCCUGAAGCGCAGUGAUUUGGUAGCGCCGCGUGUCGGAGCU